RNAcentral lists this ribosomal RNA (423 nucleotides) under uncultured bacterium. RNAcentral describes it as "bacterial SSU rRNA". It matches the Rfam family "Bacterial small subunit ribosomal RNA", at positions 355 to 775 of the family's 1533-position model. The record is from RNAcentral.
UAAGGAGUAUUGGUCAAUGGGCGCAAGCCUGAACCAGCCAUGCCGCGUGCAGGAAGACGGCCCUAUGGGUUGUAAACUGCUUUUAUUAGGGAAUAAACCCCCGCUCGUGAGCGGGGCUGAAGGUACCUGAAGAAUAAGCAUCGGCUAACUCCGUGCCAGCAGCCGCGGUAAUACGGAGGAUGCAAGCGUUAUCCGGAUUCAUUGGGUUUAAAGGGUGCGCAGGCGGAUUGGUAAGUCAGGGGUGAAAUCCCACAGCUCAACUGUGGAACUGCCUUUGAUACUGUCAGUCUAGAGUAUAGUUGAAGUGGGCGGAAUGUGUCAUGUAGCGGUGAAAUGCUUAGAUAUGACACAGAACACCGAUCGCGAAGGCAGCUCGCUAAGCUAUAACUGACGCUCAUGCACGAAAGCGUGGGGAUCAAACAG